This is a non-coding RNA of Acanthosepion pharaonis, 112 nucleotides long. NCBI's taxonomy places the organism in Eukaryota, Metazoa, Mollusca, Cephalopoda, Sepiida, Sepiidae. The record is from the annotation of a GenBank genome assembly.
UACAGUCAAAUCAUACUGAAAACACCAGUCCUUAUUCAAUCACCAAAGUUAAGAGGUGUCAUGCCUGGUUAUUACUUCGAUGGGGGACUGCUUGGGAAUACCAGGGACUGUC